AUUGAACGCUGGCGGCAUGCCUUACACAUGCAAGUCGAACGGUAACAGGUCUUCGGAUGCUGACGAGUGGCGAACGGGUGAGUAAUACAUCGGAACGUGCCCGAUCGUGGGGGAUAACGAAGCGAAAGCUUUGCUAAUACCGCAUACGAUCUACGGAUGAACGCAGGGGACCGCAAGGCCUUGCGCGAACGGAGCGGCCGAUGGCCGAUUAGGUUGUUGGUGGGAUAAAAGCUUACCAAGCCGACGAUCUGUAGCUGGUCUGAGAGGACGACCAGCCACACUGGGACUGAGACACGGCCCAGACUACUACGGGAGGCAGCAGUGGGGAAUGUUGGACAAUGGGCGAAAGCCUGAUCCAGCCAUGCCGCGUGCAGGAUGAAGGCCUUCGGGUUGUAAACUGCUUUUGUACGGAACGAAAAGACUCUGGUUAAUACCUGGGGUCCAUGACGGUACCGUAAGAAUAAGCACCGGCUAACUACGUG
RNAcentral lists this ribosomal RNA (482 nucleotides) under uncultured bacterium. RNAcentral's name for it is "partial 16S ribosomal RNA". It matches the Rfam family "Bacterial small subunit ribosomal RNA", at positions 30 to 507 of the family's 1533-position model. The record is from RNAcentral.